CCUACGGGAGGCAGCAGUGGGGAAUAUUGCACAAUGGGGGAAACCCUGAUGCAGCGACGCCGCGUGAGCGAGGAAGUAUUUCGGUAUGUAAAGCUCUAUCAGCAGGGACGAAAAAAGACGGUACCUGACUAAGAAGCCCCGGCUAACUACGUGCCAGCAGCCGCGGUAAUCCGUAGGGGGUAAGCGUUAUCCGGCUUUACUGGGUGUAAGGGGAGCGUAGACGGCAAGGCAAGCCAGAAGUGAAAGGGCAGGGCUCAACCCUGUACAUGCUUUUGGAACUGUGGUGCUAGAGUGCAGGAGAGGUAAGUGGAAUUCCUAGUGUAGCGGUGAAAUGCGUAGAUAUUAGGAGGAACACCAGUGGCGAAGGCGGCUUACUGGACUGUAACUGACGUUGAGGCUCGAAAGCGUGGGGAGCAAACAGGAUUAGAUACCCGGGUAGUC
This 441-nucleotide ribosomal RNA is filed under the name uncultured bacterium. RNAcentral's name for it is "partial 16S ribosomal RNA". It matches the Rfam family "Bacterial small subunit ribosomal RNA", at positions 338 to 795 of the family's 1533-position model. The record is from RNAcentral.